RNAcentral lists this ribosomal RNA (494 nucleotides) under uncultured bacterium. RNAcentral's name for it is "partial 16S ribosomal RNA". It matches the Rfam family "Bacterial small subunit ribosomal RNA", at positions 28 to 507 of the family's 1533-position model. The record is from RNAcentral.
GACGAACGCUGGCGGCGCGCUUAACACAUGCAAGUCGAACGGAAAGGCCUGCUUUCCCUUGUGGAUUGCGGGUACUCGAGUGGCGAACGGGUGAGUAACACGUGAGUGAUCUGCCCCCAACUUGGGUAUAAGCCUGGGAAACUGGGUCUAAUUCCCGAUAGGACUGCAGGGUGGUGCCUGUGGUGGAAAACGAUUUUCUAGUGGUUGGGGAUGAGCUCGCGGCCUAUCAGCUUGUUGGUGGGGUAAUGGCCUACCAAGGCGGCGACGGGUAGCCGGCCUGAGAGGGUGGACGGCCACAUUGGGACUGAGAUACGGCCCAGACUCCUACGGGAGGCAGCAGUGGGGAAUAUUGCACAAUGGGCGGAAGCCUGAGGCAGCGACGCCGCGUGGGGGAUGACGGCCUUCGGAUUGUAAACUCCUUUCGACCGCGAGGAAGCCACCUGGUUGGAAGGGUGGUGACGGUAGUGGUAGAAGAAGCACCGGCUAACUACGUG